Molecule: ribosomal RNA, 459 nt
Filed under: uncultured bacterium
Lineage: Bacteria
Description: partial 16S ribosomal RNA
Rfam family: Bacterial small subunit ribosomal RNA
Source: RNAcentral
CCUACGGGAGGCAGCAGUGAGGAAUAUUGGGCAAUGGCCGAGAGGCUGAACCAGCCAAGUCGCGUGAGGGAAGAAUGUCCUAUGGAUGGUAAACCUCUUUUGUCGGGGAGCAAAGUCACCCACGUGUGGGUGUUUGAGCGUCCCUUAAGAACAAGCAUCGGCUAACUCCGUGCCAGCAGCCGCGGUAAUACGGAGGAUGCGAGCGUUGUCCGGAUUGAUUGGGUUAAAAGGGUGCGUAGGCGGGUUAUCUAGUCAGCGGUAAAAUCGUGGAGCUCAACUCCAUCCAGCCGUUGAAACUGAUGAUCUUGAGUGGGCGAGAAGCAUGCGGAAUGCGUGGUGUAGCGGUGAAAUGCAUAGAUAUCACGCAGAACUCCGAUGGCGAAGGCAGCAUACCGGAGCCCGACUGACGCUGAAGCACGAAAGCGUGGGGAUCGAACAGGAUUAGAUACCCGAGUAGUC